RNAcentral lists this ribosomal RNA (264 nucleotides) under uncultured bacterium. RNAcentral's name for it is "partial 16S ribosomal RNA". It matches the Rfam family "Bacterial small subunit ribosomal RNA", at positions 46 to 334 of the family's 1533-position model. The record is from RNAcentral.
AGGCCUAACACAUGCAAGUCGAACGCUCGUAGCAAUACGGGAGUGGCAGACGGGUGAGUAACGCGUGGGAACCUUCCCAGUGGUACGGAAUAGCUCAGGGAAACUUGAGGUAAUACCGUAUAAGCCCUUAGGGGGAAAGAUUUAUCGCCAUUGGAUGGGCCCGCGUCGGAUUAGCUAGUUGGUGGGGUAAUGGCUCACCAAGGCGACGAUCCGUAGCUGGUCUGAGAGGAUGAUCAGCCACACUGGGACUGAGACACGGCCCAG